Long non-coding RNA from Rosa rugosa (rugosa rose), 1226 nucleotides. RefSeq lists it as uncharacterized. The transcript is spliced from 3 exons. The record is from RefSeq and is a predicted model, not a curated record. Lineage: Eukaryota; Viridiplantae; Streptophyta; Magnoliopsida; Rosales; Rosaceae.
UAAUUUCCAAAUUUGGGGUUCAGGGUUCUUGUAAGGAAAUUAUCAAUUCUACUGUUCGUGAUGCUUGUACUUUAAAUUGCUUCAAGAUAUGAGACUAGUAUGUAUCUCGAACCUUAAGACAUAUAUAUUUGUUUCAAUUAACUUCUUCUGCAGCGCGGGAGCAUUAUGCUUUGAACUCAGGCUUUUCCCUGACCAACAUUGAACUUUUGAAUGGCUCGAAUUUCAGAAAAUGGAAAGAGAUGGUUGAUUGUAUCUUGGCUUUCAGGGUAUUGACAUAUGUUUAAGAACCUGAGCCCCUUAUAGAUGACCAAGGUACUAAUCAGGAUGUCACCAAGCAUAGAGAAUGGCACAGAGCCGAUAGAAUGACCAAAUUGAUCUUGAAACAGACCAUGUCACCUAUUGUGAGGGGUAGUGUCGCUGAGCAAGAGACUGCAUUAGAGUAUAUGACUGCAAUCGGCCUUAAGUUCAAGGAGAAUGAAAAGGUUGAAAUCCACUUACUGUUAGAUAAGUUGAUGAAGACUAAGUAUGAAGCUUCCGGUAGUGUAAGAGAACACAUUAUGAGUAUCAUUCAUACCACCACUAGACUUAGGGACUUAAAUGUUGUUUUUCCUGAUGCUUUCAUUAUUCAUCUUUUCUUUGAAAAUCUCCCUGCUAGCUUUGCGGCUCUCAGAACAGCUUAUUUUGCUCAAAAGGAGCAGUGGGACUUGAAUGAGUUAAUUGCAAUCUGUGUACAAGAAGAGGAACUGCUUAAGAGAGACAAGUCUAUUUCUGUGAAUUUAGUCAAUAAACCAAACUGGAAGGGUAAGAACAAGGCUUCAGGGUCUAAUACAGUAGCUGCAAGUGAGGGAACUAGUGGGACCAAAGUAGUGAAACUUGGCCCCAAGAAAUUUGGUGGAAAGGGUAAGAAAUCUGGAAGUUUUAAGUGCUUUUUCUGCAAAAAGAUGCCAUUCCAAGAAGAAUUGUAAGGGGUUUAAGGACUGGCUUGUGAAAAAGGGACUUUCUAACAAAGAGGGCCCCAAAGAAAAAUGAGGUGAACAUCUCAGUAGGGAAUGGCAUGGGAGUAGCAGUGAAGGCGAUAGGCACAGUCAAACUGCUUUUAGGAUCUAGUCUUAGUUAUGUUUUGGAAAAUGUUUUUUAUAUUCCCUCUAUGAAGAGGAAGUUGAUUUCAGUAGCUUGCUUAGUUAGGAGUGGGUGUACUUUUUUCAUCAACCUUGAAGAAAUAAAAA